GUGUACUUAGCUCAAUGGUUAGAGCAUCCACCUAGCGUUUGGAGGUUGCAGGUUUAAAUCCUGAAGUGUGCA
RNAcentral lists this transfer RNA (72 nucleotides) under Cronartium ribicola 11-2. RNAcentral describes it as "tRNA-Ala (AGC) (tRNA-Ala-AGC-74-1)". It matches the Rfam family "tRNA". Rfam says of the family: Transfer RNA (tRNA) molecules are approximately 80 nucleotides in length. Their secondary structure includes four short double-helical elements and three loops (D, anti-codon, and T loops). Further hydrogen bonds mediate the characteristic L-shaped molecular structure. tRNAs have two regions of fundamental functional importance: the anti-codon, which is responsible for specific mRNA codon recognition, and the 3' end, to which the tRNAs corresponding amino acid is attached (by aminoacyl-tRNA synthetases). tRNAs cope with the degeneracy of the genetic code in two manners: having more than one tRNA (with a specific anti-codon) for a particular amino acid; and 'wobble' base-pairing, i.e. permitting non-standard base-pairing at the 3rd anti-codon position. The record is from RNAcentral. Lineage: Eukaryota; Fungi; Basidiomycota; Pucciniomycetes; Pucciniales; Coleosporiaceae.